Molecule: long non-coding RNA, 269 nt
Organism: Trematomus bernacchii (emerald rockcod)
Lineage: Eukaryota; Metazoa; Chordata; Actinopteri; Perciformes; Nototheniidae
Exons: 3
Source: RefSeq, a predicted model, not a curated record
UGUGUGUGUGUGUGUGUGUGUGUGUGUGUGUGUGUGUCAUAAUUACUGACAUUAUUAAUACAAACGCUUUAAUCUUAGAGCAGCUUUUUUACUCCUUAAUAUAAAGUUUGAUAGUUUAGUCCAGAGGUUCUCAACCUAAGGGUCGGCCCCCUCCAAAGGUCACCAGCAGGGGGAGACACCUCCUAAUGAACACGUGGUGAUCAGAGAUCUGACCCUAACAUACCAGCAGACUGGAGAAGAUGAGUGGUUUUAAAGAUGAGGAAGAGGAC